AUAUGGACCCUCAUGAAUCAGAGGAAGAACGAGGCCUGGAGUCAUGAAGGGGCUUAACUGAAGUCACAAGGCUCACGGCAGGACCAGUAUCAAAAUAGACCCCAAUGUGCGGCAGGCUCAUCAGUGGAAGUGACUUACCCUGUCUCAGAUGAGGCUUUGUACUGUGGACUUUCGAGGCAUUAUAGUAUACAUAGCCUUGGAAUCAGAAGACCAAGAACAUACAAGAGAACAUAGCCUUGGAAUCAGAAGACCAAGAAACAAUUUAACUCUGCCCCUCUAGAGCUCUGAGAACUUGGGCAAGCCUUUUACCCUCUUGAAUUUUUGCCACCUUCAAUGAGAAAGACUGAAACAAAAAACUCAGAAGAAAGAAAGAGACUGAGAUAGCAAAUAUGACAAACUGUUAAAAAUUCAUGAAUCUGUUAUGGAAUACUAUGCAGCCAUAAAAAAGGAUGAGUUCCUGUCCUUUGCAAGGACGUGUAUGAAGCUGGAAACCAUCAUUCUGAGCAAACUAAAACAGGAACAGAAAACCAAACACCACAUGUUCUCACUCAUAAGUGGGAGUUGAACAAUGAGAACACAUGGACACGGCGGGGUGGUGGGAACAUCACACACCGGGGCCUGUCAGAGGGGAGGGGGCUAGGGGAGAGAUAGCAUUAGGAGAAAUACCUAAUGUAGAUGAUGGGUUGAUGGGUGCAGCAAACCACCAUGGCAUGUGUAUACCUAUGUAACAAACCUGCAUGUUCUGCACAUGUAUCCCAGAACUUAAAGUAUAAUAAUAAAAAGAGAGAUUAAAAAAAUUGGUGAAUCUGGGCAAAAUGUACACAGGAUUUUUCUGUACUGUUCUUGCAACUUUUCUACAGAUUUGAAAUGUUACAAAAUAAAAGGUAUUUUUAGAAAAAGAGUA
Molecule: long non-coding RNA, 904 nt
Organism: Homo sapiens (human)
Lineage: Eukaryota; Metazoa; Chordata; Mammalia; Primates; Hominidae
Gene: JUN-DT
Product: JUN divergent transcript
Source: Ensembl